UACAGAGGAGCCAAGCGUUGUCCGGAUUGACUGGGCGUAAAGCGCACGCAGGCGGGUGCGCGCGGGGAGGGGGAAAUCUGGCCGCUUAACGGCCAGGCGCCAUCCCAUACGGCGCGCCUGGAGCCUUGCAGAGGUCGGUGGAAUUGCCGGUGUAGUGGUGAAAUGCGUAGAGAUCGGGAGGAACACCCGUGGCGAAGGCGGCCAGCUGGGCCGGACCUGACGCUGAGGCGCGAAGGCGUGGGGAGCGAACGGG
Molecule: ribosomal RNA, 253 nt
Filed under: uncultured bacterium
Lineage: Bacteria
Description: partial 16S ribosomal RNA
Rfam family: Bacterial small subunit ribosomal RNA
Source: RNAcentral